GACGAACGCUGGCGGCGUGCUUAACACAUGCAAGUCGAACGGAAAGGCCCCUUUGGGGGUACUCGAGUGGCGAACGGGUGAGUAACACGUGAGUAACCUGCCCUUGACUUCGGGAUAACUUCAGGAAACUGGGGCUAAUACCGGAUAGGAAUCCUUGCUGCAUGGUGUGGGUUGGAAAGCUUCGGCGGUUUUGGAUGGACUCGCGGCUUAUCAGCUUGUUGGUGGGGUAGUGGCUUACCAAGGCUUUGACGGGUAGCCGGCCUGAGAGGGCGACCGGCCACAUUGGGACUGAGAUACGGCCCAGACUCCUACGGGAGGCAGCAGUGGGGAAUAUUGCACAAUGGGCGGAAGCCUGAUGCAGCAACGCCGCGUGCGGGAUGACGGCCUUCGGGUUGUAAACCGCUUUCAGCAGGGGCGAAGCUUGUGGUGACGGUACCUGCAGAAGAAGCACCGGCUAACUACGUG
This 465-nucleotide ribosomal RNA is filed under the name uncultured bacterium. RNAcentral's name for it is "partial 16S ribosomal RNA". It matches the Rfam family "Bacterial small subunit ribosomal RNA", at positions 28 to 507 of the family's 1533-position model. The record is from RNAcentral.